GGGCGCGUGGUGGAACGGCAGACACAGCGGGCUUAAACCCUGCGGCCUUAUAAGGCAUGAGGGUUCGACUCCCUCCGCGCCCA
This 83-nucleotide transfer RNA is filed under the name Acidimicrobiaceae bacterium. Its description in RNAcentral is "tRNA-Leu". It matches the Rfam family "tRNA". From Rfam's summary of the family: Transfer RNA (tRNA) molecules are approximately 80 nucleotides in length. Their secondary structure includes four short double-helical elements and three loops (D, anti-codon, and T loops). The record is from RNAcentral. Lineage: Bacteria; Bacillati; Actinomycetota; Acidimicrobiia; Acidimicrobiales; Acidimicrobiaceae.